UUCUCCUCCACCGACCCCAACCCCACAAACACCGAUGAGCUCAAUCCACACCGGUGUCCGUCAACGUGGUAGCCAUCCACCGCGAGAGGAAAAUCAUUUGGCGAUCAAAAAUCACAAAUCACACCGGCAGUCAAUUUUCAUCCGGACAAAGACCAUUGGUGUGAGUUGUGGUUCUUCAAUCUGUUGAAAAUAGAAAACCAGAAAGAGCAUUAGGUUUGUGGGAAGAAGAAGAGGGAGAGAAAGAGGAAGAGGAAGAAGAAGAAUGGCCAGAGAACGUACUAUUGGAUGAUUUUCCCCUCGCCACCGGUGGCUUCCAUGUUGACGGACGCAGGUGAUUGUGGGGUAGGGCUCGGUGGGGUUAACAUUGGUUGUUGGGGCGGAACAGCAUAGA
Molecule: long non-coding RNA, 391 nt
Organism: Nelumbo nucifera (sacred lotus)
Lineage: Eukaryota; Viridiplantae; Streptophyta; Magnoliopsida; Proteales; Nelumbonaceae
Source: RefSeq, a predicted model, not a curated record